Molecule: long non-coding RNA, 876 nt
Organism: Canis lupus familiaris (dog)
Lineage: Eukaryota; Metazoa; Chordata; Mammalia; Carnivora; Canidae
Exons: 4
Source: RefSeq, a predicted model, not a curated record
AGGCCUCAAGGCGCGAGGACAUCCUAUAACGCCCGGGUUUAGGGGGCACUUCGCCCGGCACCUCGCGCAGUCCUGGCUCCAGCAUAAGGCCGUGUCCUCGGGGCAGCGACAACCCCGCCGAGCGGGAGUCAAGAUUGUGCGAGUAUUAGGGGAGCAGAAAACCCCAACCAACGAGGGUCAGUGUCGCAAUAAUCACCCCAGGCCUCUCCCCCAAGAAGGCCCAGCCCCUUAUGGCAUCAGAUAAGCAGCCUCGUAUCAACUAAGAGAAUGAAGUAGACACCUUCAACCCCAAAGAUAGAAAAAGUGAAGAGAUGAGAAGUUUCAUGGGCUUCCCGAGCACAGCAGCCAGGGUGAAGCUUUUAAAACGGAACAUUCUCCUUCUUGGCUGGCAUAGCUGAGGCCAUCUCCCCGCACUCCAGCACCACGAGAGGAUGAGGGGCUGUGAUGACCUUGAAGCACUAGUGGUCACCCCCGGUGCUCAGCUGACCUCUCGCUGGCCCAGGUCACCAGACUGGUGGCCGAGGUGGGGGAACAAAGUCUGAUGAGACGACAAAGCACGCGUGAGCAAAGGAGGUAUGCUGGCCCCCGCGCGCACACACAUUGCCUUCAGGCCGGUGAGCAGAGCUUCAGGCGUGUGCUGAAGGCACAGCCAGGCCCAGCUCUGAAACCAGCUGUGCUCGUGGAAGAAGCACCCACGGCAGCAGUAGCAGCUGCAGCCCCCAAGGACAGAGAGCCCCCCCGCCAGAAGCAGAGCCAGGGCAGCAGUGGGGGGCCGGUGUGCCCAGCCAUCCCCAGAGCCCAUCCCUGCAGCACCUGCACACAUUCUGACUCUCCAGUUGGAGAACCAGGGCUGCCAGGCCUCAAAACUGUCAGUAA